CAGCAGCCACGGGAAUACGGAGGGUGCAAGCGUUAUCCGGAUUUAUUGGGUUUAAAGGGUCCGUAGGCGGACUUAUAAGUCAGUGGUGAAAGCCUGUCGCUUAACGAUAGAACUGCCAUUGAUACUGUAAGUCUUGAGUAUAUUUGAGGUAGCUGGAAUAAGUAGUGUAGCGGUGAAAUGCAUAGAUAUUACUUAGAACACCAAUUGCGAAGGCAGGUUACCAAGAUAUAACUGACGCUGAGGGACGAAAGCGUGGGUAGCGAACAGGAUUAGAUACCCCGGUAGUCCCUGUCUCUUAUAU
RNAcentral lists this ribosomal RNA (301 nucleotides) under uncultured bacterium. RNAcentral describes it as "partial 16S ribosomal RNA". It matches the Rfam family "Bacterial small subunit ribosomal RNA", at positions 509 to 809 of the family's 1533-position model. The record is from RNAcentral.